AACUCUUGUUUUUUCAGUGUAUUCUGAGUGGCAUAAGCAAAUAAUCAAAACUUUCAGCAACGGAUCUCUUGGUUCUGGCAUCGAUGAAGAACGCAGCGAAAUGCGAUAAGUAAUGUGAAUUGCAGAAUUCAGUGAAUCAUCGAAUCUUUGAACGCACAUUGCGCCCGCCAGUACUCUGGCGGGCAUGCCUGUCCGAGCGUCAUUUC
This 206-nucleotide ribosomal RNA is filed under the name Geosmithia pallida. RNAcentral's name for it is "5.8S ribosomal RNA". The stretch from base 49 to 202 matches the Rfam family "5.8S ribosomal RNA". From Rfam's summary of the family: 5.8S ribosomal RNA (5.8S rRNA) is a component of the large subunit of the eukaryotic ribosome. It is transcribed by RNA polymerase I as part of the 45S precursor that also contains 18S and 28S rRNA. Functionally, it is thought that 5.8S rRNA may be involved in ribosome translocation. Lineage: Eukaryota; Fungi; Ascomycota; Sordariomycetes; Hypocreales; Bionectriaceae. The record is from RNAcentral.